GAUGAACGCUGGCGGCAGGCCUAACACAUGCAAGUCGAACGUGAAGCCACCUUCGGGUGGUGGAAAGUAGCAGACGGGUGAGUAACGCGCGGGAACGUGCCUUUCGGUUCGGGAUAACCCAGGGAAACUUGGGCUAAUACCGGAUACGCCCUCCGGGGGAAAGAUUCAUUGCCGAAAGAUCGGCCCGCGUCGGAUUAGCUAGUUGGUGGGGUAAAAGCCUACCAAGGCGACGAUCCGUAGCUGGUCUGAGAGGAUGACCAGCCACACUGGGACUGGGACACGGGCCGGACUGCUACGGGAGGCAGCAGUGGGGAAUAUUGGACAAUGGGCGCAAGCCUGAUCCAGCCAUGCCGCGUGGGUGAAGAAGGCCCUAGGGUUGUAAGCCCCUUUCAGCGGGGAAGAUAAUGACGGUACCCGCAGAAGAAGCCCCGGCUAACUCCGUGCCAGCCGCCGCCGUAA
This 459-nucleotide ribosomal RNA is filed under the name uncultured bacterium. Its description in RNAcentral is "partial 16S ribosomal RNA". It matches the Rfam family "Bacterial small subunit ribosomal RNA", at positions 28 to 523 of the family's 1533-position model. The record is from RNAcentral.